Molecule: long non-coding RNA, 800 nt
Organism: Cucurbita maxima (winter squash)
Lineage: Eukaryota; Viridiplantae; Streptophyta; Magnoliopsida; Cucurbitales; Cucurbitaceae
Exons: 2
Source: RefSeq, a predicted model, not a curated record
GUUAGGGUUCCAUCCCAGCAUUUUACAGCGGCAGUGAUGUUUGAUAGAUUUAGGGUUAAUUUAUCGUCUUUCUUCCCGGUCUCUUGAUCGUAGAGAUUGUGAAUUUCAUGGGACUGAAGUUUGGCUCUUUGGUCAAUUUCGUAUGCCAUAGAGAUGAAUGCAGUUCCCUAAAUCAUCUCUUCAACCUCUUCACCCAUUUUCGCUAAGUAAUUCAGGCAGCCUCUCUGCAAUUUUCAUGGCAAAGGAGGCGUUAAACUGCUCGUAGAUCGAAUCGCUUAUGCUCUUCAGACUUGCUGAGGUUUCCUCUGAAGCUCGUCUAGUAAGCCUAAGUACAUUUGUUUUCUGGACAUACGUUUUACGGAUUUCGAGUCGCUGUUCUUGCUUGAUUUCACUAUAUGUUCUUUCUUCAGAACCUACCUAUGAUCAUUUAGCUGAGUAGUGGUUGUUAAAUUAGAAUAUAUCUUGCAGACGCAGAUUAUUCAAUGACUUUUUAGUGUUGCAAGAACCAGUGGUUGGUGGAUUAAUCCGGAAUUUUGUUAGAGGAGCUAUAGAGUUGGUUGAGUUACAUUUAAAAACACUUAUUCAUAGGUGGAUCACUCUUGAUUGUAGGACUUUCUAGACCUAGACCGGCUUGGAUUUUGAUUCUCAAAUUAUUCUUAAGCUUCUUCAGAUUAUAGACCAAUAACUUAGGUUGAAUUCAAAAUGAACCAUAGCGGUACAUGUAAUUCAUGCCCAUAUUGCCACAAUUCAUCCAUGUAUUUCAAACAAUAGAUGCAUACUUUGUAAAGUUAUAUCAGGUA